GAAAGAAACACAACAACAAAAAUGAUCAAGAUUUGUGUCAUCUUAUUUCUCUGUGCUGCCUUGGGAUUUCCUGUAAAAACUGGAGCCCAAAGCACAACCACAGCUGCUCCAACUACAACCACAACAGCUCCAACUACAACAACAACAACUGCUUCAACUACAACCACAGCAGUUCCAACUACAACAAAAACUGCUUCAACCACAACAACAACUACUUCAACUACAACCACAGCAGCUCCAACUACAACAACAACAACUGCUUCUACUACAACAACAACAGCUCCAACUACAACAACAACUACUUCAACUGCAACAACAACAGCUCCAACUACAACAACAACUGCUUCAACCACAACCACAACAGCUCCAACAACAAUAACAACAGCUUCAACAACAACCACAGGUGCUCCAACUACAACAACUGCUUCAACUACAACCACUACAGCUCCAACUACAACAACAACCGCUUCAACUACAACCACAACAGCUCCAACUACAACAACAACUGCUUCAACUACAACCACAACAGCUCCAACAACAACUACAACAACAACUGCAUCAACUACAACCACAACAGCUCCAACAACAACAACAACUGCUUCAACCACAACCACAGCUGCUCCAACUAUAACAACGUCUGCUUCAACCACAGCAACAACAGCUCCUACUACAUCAACAACUGCUUCAACCACAUCCACAGCUGCUCCAACAACAAUAACAACAGCUUCAACAACAACCACAGGUGCUCCAACUACAACAACUGCUUCAACUACAACCACUACAGCUCCAACUACAACAACAACCGCUUCAACUACAACCACAACAGCUCCAACUACAACAACAACUGCUUCAACUACAACCACAACAGCUCCAACAACAACUACAACAACAACUGCAUCAACUACAACCACAACAGCUCCAACAACAACAACAACUGCUUCAACCACAACCACAGCUGCUCCAACUAUAACAACGUCUGCUUCAACCACAGCAACAACAGCUCCUACUACAUCAACAACUGCUUCAACCACAUCCACAGCUGCUCCAACAACAAUAACAACAGCUUCAACAACAACCACAGGUGCUCCAACUACAACAACUGCUUCAACUACAACCACAGCCACUCCAACUACAACAACAACUGCUUCAACUACAACCACAUCUCCUCCAACUACAACAACAACUGCUUCAACUACAAUCACAACAGCUCCAACUACAACAACAACUGCUUCAACCACAACCACAUCAGCUCCAACAACAAUAACAACAGCUUCAACAACAACCACAGGUGCUCCAACUACAACAACUGCUUCAACUACAACCACAGCCACUCCAACUACAACAACAACUGCUUCAACUACAACCACAUCUCCUCCAACUACAACAACAACUGCUUCAACUACAAUCACAACAGCUCCAACUACAACAACAACUGCUUCAACCACAUCCACAUCAGCUCCAACAACAAUAACAACAGCUUCAACAACAACCACAGCAGCUCCAACUGCAACAACGGUUUCAACAACAACCACAGCUGCUCCUACUGCAACAACUGCCUCAACUACAACCACAGCUGCUCCAACUACAACAACAACUGCUUCAACCACAACCACAUCAGCUCCAACAACAAUAACAACAGCUCCAACAACAACCACAGCUGUUCCAACUACACCAACAUCUGCUUCAACAACAACCACAAGUGCUCCAACUGCAACAACUACUUCAACUACAACCACCACAGCUCCAACUACAACAACAGUUUCAACAACAACCACAUCAGCUCCAACAACAGUAACAACAGCUUCAACAACAACCACAGCUGCUCCAACUGCAACAACUACUUCAACUACAACCACCACAGCUCCAACUACAACAACAGUUUCAACAACAACCACAUCAGCUCCAACAACAAUAACAACAGCUUCAACAACAACCACAGCUGUUCCAACUACACCAACAUCUGCUUCAACAACAACCACAAGUGCUCCAACUACAACAUCUGCUUCAACCACAACCACAUCAGCUCCAACAACAAUAACAACAGCUUCAACAACAACCACAGCUGUUCCAACUACACCAACAUCUGCUUCAACAACAACCACAAGUGCUCCAACUACAACAUCUGCUUCAACCACAACCACAUCAGCUCCAACAACAAUAACAACAGCUUCAACAACAACAACAGCUGUUCCAACUACAACAACAACUGCUUCAACUACACCAACAUCUACUUCAACAACCCUAGCUGCUCCAACUACACCAACAUCUGCUUCAACAACAACCACAAGUGCUCCAACUACAACAUCUGCUUCAACUACAAUCACAGCUGCUCCUACUGCAACAACUACUUCAACUACAACCACCGCAGCUCCAACUGCAACAAGGAUUUCAACUACAACCACAGCUCCAACUACAACAACAACUGCUUCAACGACAACCACAUCAGCUCCAACAACAAUAACAACAGUUUCAACAACAACCACAGCUGUUCCAACUACACCAACAUCUGCUUCAACAACAACCACAGCUGCUCCUACUGCAACAACUACUUCAACUACAACCACCACAGCUCCAACUACAACAACAGUUUCAACAACAACCACAUCAGCUCCAACAACAAUAACAACAGCUUCAACAACAACCACAGCUGUUCCAACUACACCAACAUCUGCUUCAACAACAACCACAAGUGCUCCAACUACAACAUCUGCUUCAACCACAACCACAUCAGCUCCAACAACAAUAACAACAGUUUCAACAACAACCACAGCUGUUCCAACUACACCAACAUCUGCUUCAACAACAACCACAGCAGCUCCUACUGCAACAACUACUUCAACUACAACCACCGCAACUCCAACUGCAACAACUGCUUCAACUACAACCACAUCUGCUCCUACUGCAACAACUGCCUCAACUACAACCACAUCUGCUCCAGCUUCAAUAUCAUCUGCUUCAACGACAGCCACAGCUGCUCCUACUGCAACAACUACUUCAACUACAAUCACAGCUGCUCCAACUUCAACAACAACGACUUCAACUACAACCACAGCAGCUCCAGCUUCAAUAACAUCUGCUUCAACCACAAUCACAGCUGCUCCAACUUCAACAACAACGACUUCAACUGCAACCACCGCAGCUCCAACUGCAACAACGGUUUCAACAACAACCACAGCCGCUCCUACUGCAACAACAAUUUCAACUGCAACCACCGCUGCUCCUACUGCAACAACGGUUUCAACUACAAUCACUGCUGCUCCAACUGCAACAACGGUUUCAACAACAACCACAGCCGCUCCUACUGCAACAACAAUUUCAACUGCAACCACUGCUGCUCCAACUGCAACAACGGUUUCAACAACAACCACAGCAGCUCCAACUGCAACAACUGCUUCAACAACAACCACAGUUGCUCCUACUGCAACAACUGCUUCAACUACAGCCACAGCUGCUCCAGCUGCAACAACUACUUCAACUACAACCACCGUAGCUCCAACUGCCACAACAGUUUCAACAACAACCACAGCCGCUCCUACUGCAACAACAAUUUCAACUACAACCACAGCCGCUCCUACUGCAACAACUACUUCAACUACAACCACAGCCGCUCCUACUGCAACAACUACUUCAACCACAACCACAGCCGCUCCUACUGCAACAACUACUUCAACUACAACCACGGCCGCUCCUACUGCAACAACUACUAAAUCCACAACCACAGUUUCUGCAGCAUCCCUUCACAAAGCAAGCUUCAUUUUGGUUAUUCUAGUUUUCACAGCCAUUUGUUGA
RNAcentral lists this long non-coding RNA (3789 nucleotides) under Nothobranchius furzeri (turquoise killifish). RNAcentral describes it as "lncRNA (ENSNFUG00015015138.1)". Lineage: Eukaryota; Metazoa; Chordata; Actinopteri; Cyprinodontiformes; Nothobranchiidae. The record is from RNAcentral.